GCCCACACGCAGGUUUCUUCCUGGUUUCUUGAAGGAACAUACAAACUUCAACAUGGAGGAAUCACGUUUGCUUUAAAAACAAGGAGGAUGAAGAGACACACAUCAGGAGGAGGAAGAUGAUGAUGAACUGAAGAAAGAGAAGCAGAUCAACAUGAGCAGCAUAAUAACAUGAAGAUCAGCAACAUCAGAAAUGAACAGAGAUGAUGAUCAACUGAUGAAGAGCAGAAGAUCAACAUGAGCAGCAGAGAGAGCAGAGCCGUUGUUCGCGGUUCUGCUCACAAGAGAAGUUGGAGCAAAGAUGUAGAGCCUCCAAACAUGAGCGCUGAUUCUCCUCUGAGGAUUCUUCUCCUGGGUAAAAGUGUGUCUGAGAACAGCCGUGUGGGGAACUUGAUCUUGGGUCGAUCAGCGUUUGACAGUGAAGCUCCUCCAGAUGUUGUGGAGAGAGUCGGAGGAAGACUGAAGCACAGACACGUGACGCUCAUCAACAGUCCUCAGCUGCUCCACACACACAUCUCAGAUGAUCAGAUCACACAGACGGUCAGAGAGUGCGUGAGUCUGUCUGAUCCAGGACCUCAUGUGGUGCUUCUGCUCCUCCAACAUCAGCAGUGUUCAGCAGAAGAUCAAGAGCGUGUGGAGAAGCUGCAGGACUCUUUCUCUGAGCGCCUUCUUCAACACACCCUGGUGCUCAGCACACAAGAGCCCACUGAACCCAAUCAGAUCCUGCAGAAGAUCAUCCAGAAGUGCUCCAACAGACACUUCAGUCUUCAGACAAGCAGCUCUGCUGAUCAUCUUCUGCAGGCCUUUGAGGACAUCGAGCGGAGCAAUGAGGGACGACACCUGAUUUCUGCAGCUCAAUACAGAGAUUCAAUGCGAGAACAGAUUGAGUUUAACGAGAGACUGAGAGAAGAGAGGGAGAGGAUGGAGAGAGAGAAAGAAGAUCUUCAGUGUAAACAUGAAGAGGAACAAAACAAGAUGAAGAUCC
Non-coding RNA from Danio rerio (zebrafish), 982 nucleotides. Lineage: Eukaryota; Metazoa; Chordata; Actinopteri; Cypriniformes; Danionidae. The record is from Ensembl.